UACGGGGGGGGCAAGCGUUGUUCGGAAUUACUGGGCGUAAAGGGCUCGUAGGCGGCCAACUAAGUCGAACGUGAAAUCCCUGGGCUCAACCCAGGAACUGCGUCCGAUACUGGAAGGCUUGAAUCCGGGAGAGGGAUGCGGAAUUCCAGGUGUAGCGGUGAAAUGCGUAGAUAUCUGGAGGAACACCGGUGGCGAAGGCGGCAUCCUGGACCGGCAUUGACGCUGAGACGCGAAAGCCAGGGGAGCAAACGGG
This 253-nucleotide ribosomal RNA is filed under the name uncultured bacterium. RNAcentral describes it as "partial 16S ribosomal RNA". It matches the Rfam family "Bacterial small subunit ribosomal RNA", at positions 524 to 776 of the family's 1533-position model. The record is from RNAcentral.